This 75-nucleotide transfer RNA is filed under the name Nesterenkonia lacusekhoensis. RNAcentral's name for it is "tRNA-Pro". It matches the Rfam family "tRNA". Rfam says of the family: Transfer RNA (tRNA) molecules are approximately 80 nucleotides in length. Their secondary structure includes four short double-helical elements and three loops (D, anti-codon, and T loops). Lineage: Bacteria; Bacillati; Actinomycetota; Actinomycetes; Micrococcales; Micrococcaceae. The record is from RNAcentral. RNAcentral also lists the same sequence under 1 other name.
CGGGAAGUAGUUCAGUUUGGUAGAGCGCUCGCUUUGGGAGCGAGAGGUCGCAGGUUCAAAUCCUGUCUUCCCGAC